GACGAACGCUGGCGGCGUGCUUAACACAUGCAAGUCGAACGGUGAAGCGCCUUCCUUUUUGGUGGGUGUGGAUGAGUGGCGAACGGGUGAGUAACACGUGAGUAACCUGCCCCCUUCUUCUGGAUAACCGCAUGAAAGUGUGGCUAAUACGGGAUAUUCUGGGUCUGUCGCAUGAUGGGUCUGGGAAAGAUAUUGUUUCGGUGGGGGAUGGGCUCGCGGCCUAUCAGCUUGUUGGUGGGGUGAUGGCCUACCAAGGCGGUGACGGGUAGCCGGCCUGAGAGGGUGGACGGUCACACUGGGACUGAGACACGGCCCAGCCUCCUACGGGAGGCAGCAGGGGGGAAUAUUGCACAAUGGGCGCAAGCCUGAUGCAGCGACGCCGCGUGAGGGAUGGAGGCCUUCGGGUUGUGAACCUCUUUCGCCAGUGAAGCAGGCCUGCCUCGUUUGUGGGUGGGUUGACGGUAGCUGGAUAAGAAGCGCCGGCUAACUACGUG
Molecule: ribosomal RNA, 494 nt
Filed under: uncultured bacterium
Lineage: Bacteria
Description: partial 16S ribosomal RNA
Rfam family: Bacterial small subunit ribosomal RNA
Source: RNAcentral